CCUUGAAAAAAUCAAAGGUGUAACCUGCCCAAUGAUCUUAAACUUAAAAAAUAUAACCAUUUUUAAAAAGAUUUAAAGGACGCAGUAUCCUGACUGUGAUAAUGUAGCAUAAUCAUUCGCCAUUUAAUUGAUGGAUAGUAUGAAUGGUUGAACGAAUUCUUCACUGUCUUAAAAAAAGAAAUAAUGAAAUUUAAAUAAUAGUAAAGAUGCUAUUUAAAAUUGUAAGACGAAAAGACCCUAUAGAGCUUAACUAUAAGUUCUUUUACUUAAAAGAAUAUAAUUCUCAAAAUAAAGAACUUGGUAGUUUAGUUGGGGCGACUAUCUUCUAAUAUUAACGAAGACAAGCAAAAUUAAUAUAUAAUUUAUUGUAUAACCUAUAAGUUUAACAAUUACAAAAGUAGGCAUAAUGACCCGUUUUCAUUUAGUAAUUAAAGAAAACGAUCAAUAAAUAAAAGCUACCUUAGGGAUAACAGGAUAAUUUUGUUUUAGAGAUCCUAUCGAAAACAAAGUUUGUCACCUCUAUGUUGAAUUAAGAUAUCCUAGUAAUGCAGAAGG
Molecule: ribosomal RNA, 555 nt
Filed under: Klyxum echinatum
Lineage: Eukaryota; Metazoa; Cnidaria; Anthozoa; Malacalcyonacea; Cladiellidae
Description: partial 16S ribosomal RNA
Rfam family: Bacterial large subunit ribosomal RNA
Source: RNAcentral